This 218-nucleotide long non-coding RNA is filed under the name Panax ginseng (ginseng). Its description in RNAcentral is "long non-coding RNA (PGIN_LNC003989)". Lineage: Eukaryota; Viridiplantae; Streptophyta; Magnoliopsida; Apiales; Araliaceae. The record is from RNAcentral.
UUUUUACUCCCUGAACUCUCCAAAUCCUAACUCUUCUAUGCAUCAAAUCCAUAUUCUCUAGCAUGUUUUUGCAAAAUCCGAUGCCAUCAAACGAUUCUACACACCUCCAAUCAUAUUUCUAACGAUUAUUUUCUCGAACACGUGUUUACAAAAAUUUGUUCUCCUCUCACUUUAUGAAACUGAUUUUUUUUUAAAAUCUUAGCCUCUUGAAUCUUUCA